AUACGUAGGGUGCAAGCGUUAAUCGGAAUUACUGGGCGUAAAGCGUGCGCAGGCGGUUUUUUAAGACAGAGGUGAAAUCCCCGGGCUCAACCUGGGAACUGCCUUUGUGACUGGAAAGCUAGAGUAUGGCAGAGGGGGGUGGAAUUUCACGUGUAGCAGUGAAAUGCGUAGAUAUGCGGAGGGAUACCGAUGGGGAAGGCAAUCCCCUGGGCCUGUACUGACGCUCAUGCACGAAAGCGUGGGGAGCAAACAGGAUUGGAUACCCUGGUAGUCCACGCCCUAAACGAUGUCAACUGGUUGUUGGGUCUUCAUUGACUCAGUAACGAAGCUAACGCGUGAAGUUGACCGCCUGGGGAGUACGGCCGCAAGGUUGAAACUCAAAUGAAUUGGCGGGG
This 395-nucleotide ribosomal RNA is filed under the name uncultured bacterium. RNAcentral's name for it is "partial 16S ribosomal RNA". It matches the Rfam family "Bacterial small subunit ribosomal RNA", at positions 523 to 918 of the family's 1533-position model. The record is from RNAcentral.